GAGGUUGUGGCUCAUUGGUAGAGCGCUCACCUAGCAUGUGUGAGGCCCUGCGUUCGAUCCUCAGCACCACA
This 71-nucleotide transfer RNA is filed under the name Marmota monax (woodchuck). RNAcentral describes it as "tRNA.Ala". It matches the Rfam family "tRNA". From Rfam's summary of the family: Transfer RNA (tRNA) molecules are approximately 80 nucleotides in length. Their secondary structure includes four short double-helical elements and three loops (D, anti-codon, and T loops). Further hydrogen bonds mediate the characteristic L-shaped molecular structure. tRNAs have two regions of fundamental functional importance: the anti-codon, which is responsible for specific mRNA codon recognition, and the 3' end, to which the tRNAs corresponding amino acid is attached (by aminoacyl-tRNA synthetases). tRNAs cope with the degeneracy of the genetic code in two manners: having more than one tRNA (with a specific anti-codon) for a particular amino acid; and 'wobble' base-pairing, i.e. permitting non-standard base-pairing at the 3rd anti-codon position. The record is from RNAcentral. Lineage: Eukaryota; Metazoa; Chordata; Mammalia; Rodentia; Sciuridae.